AUACGAAGGGGGCUAGCAUUGCUCGGAAUUACUGGGCGUAAAGCGCACGUAGGCGGGUGAUUUAAGUCAGAGGUGAAAGCCUGGAGCUCAACUCCAGAACUGCCUUUGAUACUGAUCAUCUUGAGUUUGUGAGAGGUGAGUGGAAUACCGAGUGUAGAGGUGAAAUUCGUAGAUAUUCGGUGGAACACCGGUGGCGAAGGCGACUCACUGGCGCAAUACUGACGCUGAGGUGCGAAAGCGUGGGGAUC
RNAcentral lists this ribosomal RNA (248 nucleotides) under uncultured bacterium. Its description in RNAcentral is "partial 16S ribosomal RNA". It matches the Rfam family "Bacterial small subunit ribosomal RNA", at positions 523 to 769 of the family's 1533-position model. The record is from RNAcentral.